AGCAGAUUACCCAGGCCUUGCACCUGGAUCACGGGGCUGCCCUAAUCAAGGAUAUCAAAAAUGAAGGGGCAGCUAAAGAAAAAUAAAAGACACCUCAGAAAGUAGCCUGCCUCUUUGACAAGGGACAUGCCUUCAGAGGAACAUAACAGAAACCCCUGAGAAUUGUCAGCAAUAAAAAGACUGAGCAACAAGGGAAACUGGUAGGAAGCCAAAGGUUUUAAGAGGUGAGAGUGGAGAAAUGCUGUGCUUUUAUUGAUCCUCUCCAAAGGAACAACCUUAAAAAAGCAUGAUAGAAAUCGGCACUAAUCAUCAUAAAAGAAGAAUGUCAGCCAAGCCAGAGAAGGAAUUUUGGGGUUCGCUUUGAAGACUUGUGCACUCUCCAGCUGGUCACAGACACUACACUCACCUAUUUUGUAAAUACAUCUUUUUUUUUUUUUUUAAGCUUCUCACCUCAGUCUCUACCAGACAGGCUUGUGUGAGGAGUGAACUAGUAUUGUAUCUGUUAAUUUCUUUGCAGGCAAAAAUCAAGUUACCAGGAAAAUAUUUUUUAAAAACCACAAACAGUCUAAGAGCACUGCAACAUUUUUAAUCAUUUGCCUUUUCUCAACACUGCAUUUUAAGCAAGGAACAAGACUAUUCCAGUUCUAAAUGCUUUAAUGAACAAGGGGUAUUGGGUCUUAGCAUCAACAUGAUCUAUCCUCACUCUGAAGCUUUGAGUAGCUUCUGUGCUUUGUAAAGCUUCAAUCCAAUUCAUUUGAUAACUACAAUUACCAAAUCCGGGCAUUGCUGACUAUACAGUUCAAAAAAACAGCAUGGAGGGAAGACCUGCUGGGAACCUUAGAAUCUAUCGAUAAGCUCUUGAAGUGGUUUAAAGUAAUAAACCACUUCAAUUGAAAGGGCAAUAAAAUGUUUCUCGUGUA
Molecule: long non-coding RNA, 920 nt
Organism: Nomascus leucogenys (northern white-cheeked gibbon)
Lineage: Eukaryota; Metazoa; Chordata; Mammalia; Primates; Hylobatidae
Exons: 2
Source: RefSeq, a predicted model, not a curated record